ACUGCUCAGUAACACGUAGCUAACCUAACCUUAGGUCAAGAAUAACCUCGGGAAACUGAGGAUAAGACUUGAUAGAAAAUUUUUUCUGGAAUGAGAAAUUUUUCAAACUCGAGCCUAAGGAUGGGGCUGCGGCUGAUUAGCUAGUUGUUGGUGUAAUGGACUAACAAGGCGAUGAUCAGUAAGGGUUCUUAGCGGAAGAGCCCUGAGAAGGAAUCUGAGACACUAUUCCUAGCUCUACGGGGUGCAGCAGUUAAGGAACUUUUACAAUGCUCGAAAGAGUGAUAAAAUCAACCAGAGUGUUUUCUUUUAGAAAACUUUUGUCUGCUGCAAAAAGGCAGAUGAAUAAGGACUGGGCAAGACCGGUGCCAGCCGCCGCGGUAAUCCCGGCGGUCCGAGUCGCAUCCACAUUUAUUGGGUCUAAAACAUCCGUAGCUUGUUUUGUAAGUCUCUUGUG
RNAcentral lists this ribosomal RNA (454 nucleotides) under uncultured archaeon. RNAcentral describes it as "bacterial SSU rRNA". It matches the Rfam family "Archaeal small subunit ribosomal RNA", at positions 85 to 546 of the family's 1478-position model. The record is from RNAcentral.